CCUACGGGAGGCAGCAGUAGGGAAUUUUGCGCAAUGGGCGAAAGCCUGACGCAGCAACACCGCGUGAAUGUUAAGCCCUUCGGGGUGUAAAGUUCUGUCAAUAGGGACGAAUUUUGACUGUACCUAUAAAGGAAGCACCGGCUAACUCCGUGCCAGCAGCCGCGGUAAUACGGAGGAUGCGAGCGUUAUCCGGAUUUAUUGGGUUUAAAGGGUGCGCAGGCGGCCUGUUAAGUCAGCGGUAAAAGCCCGGGGCUCAACCCCGGCGAGCCGUUGAAACUGGCGGGCUGGAGUUGGAGAGAAGUACGCGGAAUGCGCGGUGUAGCGGUGAAAUGCUUAGAUAUCGCGCAGAACCCCGAUUGCGAAGGCAGCGUACCGGCUCCACACUGACGCUGAGGCACGAAAGCGUGGGUAUCGAACAGGAUUAGAUACCCGAGUAGUC
This 439-nucleotide ribosomal RNA is filed under the name uncultured bacterium. Its description in RNAcentral is "partial 16S ribosomal RNA". It matches the Rfam family "Bacterial small subunit ribosomal RNA", at positions 338 to 795 of the family's 1533-position model. The record is from RNAcentral.